Molecule: long non-coding RNA, 391 nt
Filed under: Ananas comosus (pineapple)
Lineage: Eukaryota; Viridiplantae; Streptophyta; Magnoliopsida; Poales; Bromeliaceae
Description: long non-coding RNA (ACOM_LNC022208)
Source: RNAcentral
GUCUAUUAGCGAAUAUCCAUCUAUCAUAUCGAACACACACAACUAAGAUAGAUUAAUCACCAAGAUAUCAAAUUUGAUUUUAAAAUUUUGAUGAAUAUAUGUAUUAAGACUUCAUAUAAUAAAUUAUCGUCAAAAUAAUAAAAAGUGGAGUAAAAUCGAUAAUUAAUAUGAAUUUAAUUGAAGAUGAAUGUGAAGUUCAAUCCCGUUUAAAGCACUUUGAAAAUUUUAAUCUCUCCAAAAUAAUGAUUUUCAAUCAUCUUCUUUCUCAAAGAAAUUUUUAAAUCCCAAAAACAUUUUUACACAAAACGAUUUUUAAACAAAUAAAAUUCAAGCACCAAAAAUCGUCCAAACAUGUAAUGCAAUGAAUAAAAAUAUGCACUAAGCACUAAUC